CCCCUGCAAAAUCGAUACAUGUAUUCUCUCAUGCCGUCAUGGAAGUGAGAUUAUGUAGGAAGGAAUAAGGAUGAGACGAACUAAAGACAAUUGAAUCGGAUUAUGUCACAGUGAUUCUGUCCACUUGAGGUGGUGAUUUCGUGCGGUUGUGAGAGAGAGGGUUCUUACUUUGUCAUUAGCUCCUUGCGCCAUCCUAGGGGCGGUCCUCGCCUGCAUGACAUAGUGUUCAUAGGUAAAUACAUACUUAAAGACAAUUGAAUCGGAUUAUUUCACGGUGAUUCUGUCCACUUGAGGUGGUGAUUUUGUGGGGUUGUGAGAGAGAGGGAUCUUACUUUGUCAUUAGCUCCUUGCGCCGUCCCAGGGGCGGUCCUUGCCUGCAUGACAUAGUGUUCAUAGGUAAAUACAUAAUUAAAGAGAAUUGAAUCGGAUUAUGUCACAGUGAUUCUGUCCAUCGGAUUAUGUCAUGGUGAUUCUGUCCACUUGAGGUGGUGAUUUCGUGGGGUUGUGAGAGAGAGGGAUCUUACUUUGUCAUUAGCUCCUCGCAUUGUCCCAGGGGCAAUACUCACCUGCAUGACAUAGUGUUCAUAGGUAAAUACAUACUUAAAGACAAUUGAAUCGGAUUAUGUCAUGGUGAUUCUGUCCACUUGAGGUGGUGAUUUCAUGGGGUUGUGAGAGAGAGGGAUCUUACUUUGUCAUUAGCUCCUCGCACUGUCCCAGGGGCAAUACUCACCUGCAUGACAUAGUGUUUAUAGGUAAAUACAUACUUAAAGACAAUUGAAUCGGAUUAUGUCAUGGUAAUUCUGUCCACUUGAGGUGGUGAUUUCGUGCGGUUGUGAGAGAGAGAGGGAUCUUACUUUGUCAUUAGCUCUUCGUGCCGUCCCAGGGGCGAUUCUCACCUGCAUGACAUAGUGUUCAUAGGUAAAUAUAUACUUAAAGACAAUUGAAUCGGAUUAUGUCACGGUGAUUCUGUCUACUUGAGGUGGUGAUUUCGUGCGGUUGUGAGAGAGAGGGAUCUUACUUUGUCAUUAGCUCCUCGCACCGUCCCAGGGGCAAUACUCGCCUGCAUGACAUAGUGUUCAUAGGUAAAUAUAUACUUGAACUCGAGCGAUUACCUUUUUUUCCUGCUAAUAAAGAAUUAGGUUUUCUUUUCUUUUCUUUUUUUGGGGUAUGGCAGAGGCGAAUAUCAUGUCUGGGUUUUUUAAAACUCAUUCAGCUUUCGAAAAUCGCUUUACAAACCAUACAAUUAUCUUCCGGACCAACUUACGCGAAUCACGCCUAUACAUGUUGUCUAUGUAGUCGGGGUGCAAAUCUUUUUGAAGGAGAAGAUAGUGCUUUUGAUCUUGUCAUUAGUUCCAACUCGAUAAAAGUAAGGUGGACAUUCCUCGUUGGAGGUAUUUUUUUUGAAAAUGUAAAUUUUAGUAGAGUGUUGAAUUUUCUGCAUCAUAUAUCCUUAUGAAGAAUCAAGAUCGAACGUCUAUUUAGAUUAAUUUAAACUACAAUCUUUACCUCUUGACCGCGUACAUCAGUACUGGGUUUGUCUAUCAAUAGGUGUUUAUACUCGUCGUGGCAGAGGACGUAGGAGAAGGUUUUUAGUUCCUCAAAACUGAGACUUUUGCUGCCGUCCUUGUCCAGCUUUGCGAAGAGAUUAUCAGGGUUGACAUUAUGGAGCCCGGCAACGCUCAGGAAGGUCUUGAACUCGUCGAUACUUAUGUCGCCGUCCUCGUUCUUGUCCAUGUUGUUGAAGAGUCUCGUCGCCUCCUCCUUCUGGUCAUCCGUCAAGCCAUCGUAAUGAGCAGAUGCAGCCUCGCGAAGCUCUGCUAUAUCUAUGUCUGCCAAGACGGGCUUACUUAGCUUGGUCGGCUCGGUCGGCUCGGCCUCCAGGUCCUCCUUCUCUCUCUCCUCUCCAUCUCCACUGAAUAUUUUCUCCUCCUCCUCCUCCUCCUCCUCCUUUGCUGUAUCUAUGUCUGCCGAGACGGGCUUACUUAGCUCGGUCUGCUCGGUCGGCAAGGCCUCCACGUCCUCCUCCUCUAUCUCCUCUCCAUCUCCACUGAAUAUUUUCGCCUCCUCCAAGGACUCGGCCAUCCCUCUCCCCCUCUCUCUCCUUUGCCUUUCUCUUUGAGGAUGUGUGCAAGUGCUGUUUCUGUGGAGGUUAUUGAAGUAUUUAUAGAAAAUUACAGUCGAGCGUUCCAUGAGUUACACGCACAAAAGAAAGAAAGAAAAAUAUGUGAAUGAUUAUUAGAUUUUUAAUGUGUGUACGAUCAAUGUGAAUGCAUGUGAAGCACACAGAGAGAGGAAGCAAAAAAAUUCGUGGACUUCAAUUUGGACGUACAAGUCCCUACAUUUGCUAAGAGCAAUCUUACAUGGGCGAGCAAAUCUUAUUAAAACAUUUUUUUUUUGGUAAAGUAUUUUUUUUUUGGUAAAGUUAUUAAAACAUUUUUAUUAUGUGAAAGAGUUAAUUUUUUCAUUGGAUAUUAAAAAAAAAAAAAACUUAUAGUCCAAUGCAUGAAUCCCACCGAUUUCAAUAUGAUUGAAACUUUCUAAUAUUUUUAUUGCCCCCAUCUAGUGACUUGUUGGACAUCUCAUGAGUCACGUCAAUUGAUUAAAUCCAAGCCUUUGACAUUUACGGAUGAUUAUGACUAAGAAUAGUUAAAAUUCAAUUAGUGAUAUUCGAACUAGUGAUUUCUAAUUUUUAAGCUGAAAAUCUCCUAACGUUAUGACCAAGAAUUCUCUUUUCCUAACUAUUUUGUUCUCUGAGCAAUGUCCAUAACGGUAUGUGAGUGAAGAGUACUAAUUCAAAACCUUGAGAAAACUAAGAUAGUGUAGGGGAAUGUGCAUCAGGUUGAUUCAACUCGAGAAUCCUUGCUUGGACCUAUUAGUUUAAGAUCAGUGCUAAGGAAAAUUGGUUUGGUUCCCAAUACUAACUUGAGAAAUUGAGGGGCAAAUUGUUCGAGGCGAAAUCAAUAAAUGCCCGUAGGACAGCGUUGGCUUCUUGACGGGGCCACCAAUGCGGACAAUUACACACGUCAUAAAAUCUUUGCAAUUCCAAUAAUUGAGGUCUAUGCCUAUUGAAAUCAUUAAAAUUCAAGACAAGACAGCACUGACGUGCCUUUAAGCCUGUUCCUAAUUAAAUCGGUUUUGCAGCAUCUUUAAAAGAAUAAAUAUUUUUGCACCCAUAAAAUCGAACCAUUCUCUUCAACAUGAACAAACAACAAAAUAAUCACUUGACUAACAUAUAUUUUAUAGCAAAAUUAUUCAACUUUUAUAUCAUAUCAUAUAAAUUAUAUUUCUACACAAAAUAAAAAUGAACCAGUUCUCGAGUAAAUUCGACAAUAGAGCCGCAACUGGUUGGAAAUCAACCCACCCGUGUUGGAAAAAUAUCUUUAAGUGAUUUUGAUAAUGUCCAAACUAUUAUCAGUAUAAUAUUUACUGUGAAAUGUGUAGAUGUUCAUACCAAAAGAUUGCAUAAUAUCCAUGGUGUAAUCCAAUGGAAGGAAGUAUGUCAUAAGUCCCGAUACAAUAUUUCCGUAAACAGUAUAAGUGGACUUGAAGAUAAACAAAUGUCUAUGUCGAAGUUGUAAAUAUCAAGUCUUUGGUGCUAUGGUUACCUCGUACAUUUAAUGACGUUUGUUGGAUUAGCAAAUUAGCUGUUGAGGCUUUGGAAUCAUCCAAUAGUAGAAUCUAGAUGAGACCAAUAAUCAAGAAGUUAGGUUGUGUGACAGGUUUGUUAGAGACUACAUCGAAGGGACAUCAACACAUGCUAUUUGUAGGUAGCGUGCAAAUGUUUGGGAAAAAAGACUGCAUGGACAGUUGUAUCUCUGGAUAGUAGCUCAACGGUUAUUCUAACAGCUCUCUGCUUCUUCAGUUUGCCUCCAACGGAUGGAUUGAAGAUUUGUUACAAAGAGCAACAUACCAAGAUCUAAAGAUUUAUCGCUAUGUUCCAAGCGAUACGCUCUCUUUGAACUAUUCUUUUAGCAUUGUAUUCGUGCUAUUUAAGUAAUUGUGCUAAGUAUUAAGUGGACAAGAGCAAGAGCAGCAUGUGAUCUAUCUUGUAAAAGGAUUAAUACUUACUAUUGUAACUUCCUCAGCAGAUUACUAGUCCAAUCUAGCUCAAUUUGUAGCUAUUAGUCUCAAGAGUGGACAUGGGCUACGGGAUAGAGCCGAACCACUAUAUUUCGCUCUUACUAGCACACGGUUUCAACAUUACAUUGACCUAUUCUUUACUUAGCGCCAGUUAAUUUUCACGAAAGAUUGUUAAGUUUUCUAAAGCAACCUAUUCACCCCCUCUAGAUUGUAUUGUUAGCCCCCAACAAUACAAACCCAAUCACCCUUGAGAUAGAGGCAAUCUAGAAAACUCACAUUAAUUUCCAAUUAGCAAUGAAAAAUUGAGAGCACACAGCAUGAGCCUUCAAUGAUUAAUUGCCAUAAUUCACAAUUUUUGUGUUUAGAUCAUGUAGGGAUCCAACUAUAGGAUUAUUGAAAUUUCAUACUUGACAAUCUAUAUAGUCUAUUAAUCUCGAGGAGGAGAUAGAGAGUCAUUUCAAAAUUUGGGAACAAUUCACUUUAAGAUAGAGUGAAUUUAAUGACUAUUUUCUCAAGCCAAUUCCAAUCUCAAAUUUCUUUCGAGUUUCAUAUAUUCAAAUGAAUCUCAGAGUUGAAAACUCUAUGAUGAAACGGGAAAUAAAUGAGUCCUUGAAACAAUAAGUAUCCUCUUUCCAAUUUGAUACCAAAGCCUUUUUCUUGUUGAUCUUAAAAUAUUUUGUGGAUAAAUAAGUCUUUUUAAUCCUUUUAUAUGAUCGUCUUCAAUUGCUUCGAUCCAGACCGGGAAGCUACGUAUUGUAGCUGGGGAGGAAUCCAAUAUUUUAACCUGUUAAAUACAAGUGUGAAAAAGAACAGAUGGAGUCCAAGUCAAAGUCAUGCUUGGGAUCAAAUCGACCUGUGUUACAUUGUAAGGACUAAGCGACAUUCUCCUCUGCCCUUUUUGAAAAAUCAAUGAAGAUUCCACCACAAGCCUCGUCUGCAAUAAUAGUAUAAAGCAUAGCUAGCAGACAUGAAGAUACCACGAGAUUCGGUGGGUUGUUCUGUCUCUCUCCCCAGUUUCCAAGAAAUCAGAGUGCGAUUAUCCUUAUUCGAAUUUAAGCGCCCGCGUAGUUUGAUCCAGGCAUGGAAAAAUGAUGCCUUAUUCUGCGAUGCUGUAGAGUCCAGGCCAAUUUCGAUUCAAAGAGGCCUAAAUUAUUAGAAAAACCUCAAAUUUUAAGUAUUGUCGCAAUUCCACUCCAAUUCUUUUUUUAUCUGAGAAAAAAAUUCAAUUUUAGAUGUAGCCCCAAAUCUAUUUCAAAAUUUAGAUUUAGUCCUAAAUUUAUCUCGAAUUUUGUUUUGCCUAAAAAGAUCACUAACUUUUAAUCUAUCCUUAAAUCAACAUUGUGGUUAUUCCUAAUUGGGCGUGGUGUUUCCACAUUGAUGACAAAUCUACAUUGAUAAGGCGACAUAGAAAAUUAUCUUCAAAUUAAAACUACUCUAGGAUAUAAAAAUUAAUGACCUCGUGGUCAUUGAAGUGAUGAUUUGUUGCUAUCGUUCAAUUAAUAAUAUAGGUAAAAGUUGAGUAGAACUUGAAAUCAACUCUAGAACCCAUGACACAAUAGGUUCCAAGGUAUGUAGGAUAAAUUCCAAAUUCAAAAAUAAGAAAUUUGUUUCAGUAGAUAGGUUCCAAGUUCGAUGUGACAUAUGUAUGAAAAUUGGACCCGCCCCUAAUUGAUUUACCUCCAAAGACCUACGUGGUCAAAUUUCCAAAGAAAAUAUACAAGUUUCUCCAUGAGAUUAGAAUCUUACGUAUUGAACGAUUGCAAUAAAUAUAAUUAAAACAUAGAUGCCUCCACAUAAUGGUUUUCAAUGCUUUAAUUGCUUGAUUCUUGCGUACUUGGGGUUUGAGUCACUAUGUGUCCUACUCAGCAUGACUUCAGCACGACGCUUGCCACCCUAAGCAUAGAGUGGUACCCAGUAUACGUGGACGGAGCGAUUGACAUACAAUCAUAAAAUUAGUCGAGUCGAGAAAAUUUCUAAUAUCUAUUUUUAUUUGCAAGUGAAAGUAUUGAGGUAUGGUUUAUAUUCGCGAUUAAUAAGAAGGCACGGAGUUCUACUCCUUGAUAUGAGGGUUUGAGGGCAAUUUCGAAAGGGUCAUAGGGAUAGCAUCUUCGUGACGUCCUUAAUUUAAGUUCAUUUUUUAUUGGAAAUUUAGAUUUACCGAUUUAUAAUAUCUUUUUAUUAUUAUUUAUAAUUGAGAGUUGUAAUAUAGAGGUGUAAUAUAUUAAUUAGAGUAAAAUUAUCAUAAAAAUUCUGAUACCUCAAUGUCUCUUUCGCUCGUUUUUAUUUUUUAUUUCUUCGUGGUGGUGUGUCGAAUUCUAAUGGAAAGAAGGGAAAGAAAAGGAAGAUAGGCAUCGUUAAAGACUUCGCGAGGACUGAGGAGCAAUCUGUCGAGAUAUUUUAUCGCUCUCGGUCUUGGUCGUCUCUAAAUUUCGUCAAUGCACGGGCCGGCGAGCGGAUGAUAUGAUUGCAAGAGGCCAAAACUGUCAGAGUGAACGAUAAUCACUUUGUUUUUUGUUUUUUCACGACAUGUCCUCCCCACUUUAAAAAAGUAAGAGAGCUUAGCAAGUGACGCCGGAGCUGGUCUCUGUCUCUGUAAUGCGCUUGCCAGCUUCGAACGAAAUAGAAAGGAUGCGUCUCUGAGGCAAAAGCUACUUUUUGCAAAAGCAUAUUAACUUUUGUGCACAAUUUUCUCCGCCUAUUUAAACACCAUCAAGUCUCACCACGUGUAUCUACUUUUGUGCACAAUUUUCAAGGCGUCUCAUGCUGACGUCACCGAACCGCUCUGUCAGGAGGAUCGGCUGACUCGCUAGGGUUUUGUUCUUCAGGUUAGGUCGGAUUUUCUUGGGUGCUCCUUCCUUGGAUAUGCUGAGCUUGGACACACAGCGGGUCGAUGAAUAGGCACGUGACUAGAGUAAGCUAUAAAUCUUUGCUGGCUACAAAAAAAAAAAAAAAACGUUGUCAAUAUUGGUGUACAGUGAUGAUCAUUAAUAGGUUGUCAAAUAGUUGAUUGUAGACAAUGAUAUUGGUUAAAUGGGUCAAAUGGAUUACCCAUCGAAAUGCCACAAAAAGGCCGAAUACUUAGAGGGUGUCAAGAUGCGGUCAUAAAAUUUGGAAUUUGAAAUCAGUGAUGAGUGGAGCUAUGAAGACCGGUAAAUCAUGGAGCAAGAAUGGAUGAGGUGAAGGAUCAAAACACAAUUUUAAAGGAGCAAUCACUCCAAAAUAACAUCAUAGCAUCGUAAGAGUAUGGGCACAAGAUUCUCAAAGAUGUGGAGACAUAGAGAUAUGGUUACGACUGUAGGAGAAUUGCUCCUAGAAGGUGAUGGCAUGAGCACUAUAUAUACCAUUGUUAAUCUACUAGAGACCGCGCGAGCACAAAAAACAAAAAACAAUAAAAUAAAAUAAAAUAAAAUAAACAAACAAACAUGUUAUCUUUCAACUACCCUUUAAUUGAUGCAUUGUAGCUUUUAUUUUUAGACUCGUGUCAUCGAUUAAAUUCCAGUGUGUCUCUUAGCUGUAGAUUUUAGAUUUGCGUCGUCGUUUAAAUUCCAACAUUGCCUUUUUCAUGUCUUUAACUUUGUGGUCAAUUAAAUUCGGGCAUACUUUGUGCACAUUCAGGUUUGUCCAUAAUAGCUACAUUCUCAAAUUUUGUCGUUGUUCAAAUUUCAAUUAGGGGUGAUCGGUUUCUUGUCUGGUUUAGUUCCACCUAAGAAUUGGAAAUCGGACCAUGAGGACCGAUUCCAAUUUUUUUUGGGAUUGGGGAUCGAAUCGGACGGUCCUAGGACCAAGAACCAGACUGGACCGACUGACCGAUUCAGUUUAAUAGAACUGACCACUAGAGGUGGCAAAUGGGUGGGACAGGUCAGGUAUGGGUCGGGUCGAAAACGGAUCAACUCAUAUUUGACAUAUUUAACCCGUUCUGACCCAUAUUCUUAUAGUGUAAAUCUAGUGACUCAUACCCGACUCGACCCAUAUUGCUAAAACCCACUAAUAUACUUAAAAAAACCCGCGCUCACUAUAAGCUAUAUGCUAAUUGGAUAAAAACCUCAAAUUAAAUUAAAAAUAGUAAAUAAAAUAAAAAAUGUUAAAAAAGCCUAUAAAUUGAAAUAUUUAUGAAGAAUUAGACUAUGCACAUGCUUCUCUUAUUUAAAGUGAGCAUACUGUUGAGCAACUGAAAACUGCAACGUGAAACUAAGUAUUAGCUAUUUGAACACUAUCUAAUGAAACAUUCGCGAAGGGAAGAAUGAAAAUGGUCUUUCGCAAGUCAGAUUUAUACGAGCUUCAUCAAAUCUGGAAUUGAAAGUAAACACUUCUCUUAAUAAGAAUCUCAUUUGCUCGUUCAAAGAAAAUAGUUCUAUAGCUACAUUUGUAAUUCAAACAAAAUUGUCCACUCUCUUGGAAAUCCUAGAAAGAUGGACAAAAAGAUGUACUGCUCAAAAACUUAUUCACAUACAGUUAUCACCUUCCCUCCUUCCAGACUAAGUUGACUUCAUACUGGUCAACCAAGCGCAGAACAUGACCAAGUCCCAAAUAUGAUGAUAUCUUCAAUUAUGAAGGUAGAAAAUUCUAAACCUGAUACCAAUUAUAGUUCAUCUUUUAAUAAUGAGAUGAAACUCUUCUUCUGAUUAACACAUAACUUUACUUACAUAUGCCUCUCCAACCCGCAAAUCCCCAUAAAUCUUCUCCCCCUCCAUGUCAUAAUGAAACAAUGUAAAAAUGUUCACAUGGACUAAUUAAGCAUAGUACAACUUGUUUAUGGUUGGCCACCUCUAAUCAGUUUCCUAAACUGUGAAAGCUUCUACAGAAAUCUGCAAUUUACCAAGAAGUCAACUGCCAUAUCAGAGGAAAAACAUGGUACAAGUACAGAGAAGGCACCUUAUAACCAAAAAGCUCAUAACAUGCUUGUCAAAACACUGAAAUUCGGUCUGCAAAUACAGUCUUGUACCUAUGCCAUAUUGUAUCAUCCAUGAGACAAUGAAUAUGGAAUAUUGAGAACAAAUGUAUCAUGUAACACAAACCUUUCUUCACGCUUCUCAAGUGUUGCAAUUUGUUCUUUUAGCUAAGUUAUCUUUUCAUAUAUUUGGCAAUCAACAGAUUUUGCAGCAUUGCCUACAAUUUACAUGUGCAACAACACAACAAGAACAAAAGAGCAUUUAAUUAUGCACCACCAAGCUAUAGCUUUUCAAAUAACGUAAAAUCAUUUACAACCCCAAACCAAAAUUUCAUCAUACGGAAUGCAAUAGGCACAUGAAUUUCAUUAAUCCUGUUGCAUCAGCAUUUAAUGUUUGGAUAUAUAUAUCCAUGCGCGCGCACGCACAUUUCAGCACAUUGUUAAGAAUCUAUAAUAUUGCAAGAACAAGACAGAAACCAUUUUAACAUGCUAGUAUGAAUCUGGAGAUAAAAGAGAUAAUUUAAUAGUGAACUUUACAAAUAAUUUAAUAGUGAACUUUACAAAUAAAAGAAAGUACCUAAUGCAAAUAGUCUUGGAAGUCAACAAUGAGAGACUCGUCCUCAAGAUCUUCCUUAGGCGAAACUCCAAAUAACCAAUCUCUGGUGCAUAGCUCAGCCUCCACAUUUUUAGGCGAAAUGUUACUACGAUAUUUAUUUAGGAUGUGUCCUCCAAUGCUAAAGGCUGACUCUGAGGCAACAGUAGUGAUAGGAAUACUCAAUAUAUCACAUGCCAUAAGAGAUAACUCAUGAUAUCAAUGUGAAUUAGCUUUCCAAUAAUCAAGGACAUUGAGAUUAGGGGAUUUUUUUUCUAUCAACCCUGGGCUCCUCUAAAUACAAAUCUGAUUGUGAUUUAGUAGAUUGCAAGCUAAAGUGUUCACUCUCAAAUGCAUCAUACUCAUCAAGAUUGUCCCCAAUGUUUUCGACAAUGUCCUCAACUGAAAUGUUACCUUGACUAAUUGAAGAUGCAAAGCGAUCAUCUCUUGAUGUAGAGGUCACAUAUUCAUCAAAAAACAUAUAAAGCUUUUCUCAAAUGCUCCAUACAAAUUCCACAUGAUCAUCCAUCUCCAACUUCAAAUAGCAAAAUUCUAACAAGUGUAGCUUAUAGCGAGAAUCUAAUACAGCAGCAACAGAUAAGACAACACUGUAACACUUCCAAUAUUUUUCAAACUUCUUUAGCAUUGCCAUAGCCAUAGAUCUAAUAGCUACAUCCUCACUACUCCUUGAAUUUAUUAAACGAAGCUGAAUCUGCCAUACUCUAUAGAAAUAUAAAUUCGCCGUGGGAUAUCUAACUCCAGAGAAGAGAGUAGAAAUAUCAUAGAAAUGUUGCAACAAGAAUACUAUUUUCUUGGCUCUAACCCAACCCUCAAGUGAUGGACAUGUAAGAAAGUUAGAAUCAAUUAGCUUCAAAUGGGAAAAUGCAUUUUCAAAGACCAAAGCACCUUCAAGCAUUAAGUACGUAAAGUUCCAUCUAGUAGCUACAUCUUGACGUACUUUUUUACCCGUCUUCAAUCAAGACUGUGUUAUCACUCAACAAAUUUUGCUCUCCUCCCUUGUGUAGCUCUCACAUAUUUGACAAAUUCUCUAAUAUUUUGCAAUAAUCCAUCAAUCAUCUUUAGACCUUCUUGGACAAUAAAAUUCAGAAUGUGUGCACUACAACAUACAUGAAAAAACUUCCAUUACACAACAAAGAGGAUCUCAUAGAAUGUGUACUUUUCCAAAUAUCAAUGAUACUGUCAUUGUAUAAUGCAUUAUCCAAUGUGAUACUGAAAAUUUUCCUCUCAAUGCCCCACUCUCUCAACAAAGUCAGCAAUUUUUCCAAUAAAAUGGCGCCAUUGUGUGGAGGUGGCACGUAGGAGAAGCGCAAAGCCUUUGCAUGCAAUUCCCAAUUCUCAUCAAUGUAAUGGGCAGUGACGGUCAUAUAAUGAUUAGUUGUCACAGAAGUCCACAAGUCAGAAGGUAAACAUAUUCUACUAGAAAGUGACAUAAUAUUUUAUUUCAAAUUUCUCUUCUCAUUCUCAUAAACUUUGACCACAUCACUUUUUGCUGUAUUCCUCGACAUGUGCUUCACAUUGGGAUUAAGAUAACUAAGCAAUUCUCUGAUAGCCUCUUGCUCUACAAAAGAGUAUGUUAAUUGUGUUUGACUAUUGCUUUUGCUAGCUUGCUUCUAAACACAGUUUGAUCAAACUGUUCCGUGGAAUCGUCAACGUUGGCCUCUCGAUUGGGACAAAUUUGUAAAUGACACAACAAAUUUUUUGUCUCAUGGCUAGCCAUGUAAGUUGAUUCGCACUAUUUGCACUUGGCCUUUUUUUUUGCCAUCCUCCGUGAAUUGUUUGAAUUUAGACCAUAUAGUAGAAGUACAUUUUUUCGAUUGUUUAGAGCAAGUAGAGUUAUCUUCCUCAUCCUCAUGAAAUAAGGAUGUAGCUCUACGCCUCUUAGACCAUUUUGUUGUUGAAUAUUCUUUUUGAUCCUCGUUAGAUCUAGACAUGUCAACUAAUUAGUUAAAGAAAAGGUGAAUUAGAACAAGUUAUUUACUCAAAGAGAAAAUGACAUGUUAUAUUUCUGUUUAACACUAAAAGAAAACAUCUCCAACUUUCAUUCUCCUUUAAGAGUAGAGAACAAAAAAGAAAACAUGCAACCAAACAAGCAAUAACAAUCAAGUGAUUGUGAAACAGACUAAGAACAGAGACGAGGAAAGAAUCGCAUGCAUCAAUAGCAAAAAUUGAGGAACUCAAUGUGUCAAAAAUUUAUAAAGACACUUCUCUAAGAACGAGCAUUGCCAUCCCAAACAGUCCGAACCCUAGACCCAACUAAAAUCAACUAGAAGAAUAAGAUAUAAGCCAAGAACUCGUUCAGCUGGAACAAAGUUGUGAUUGUGCCCCAUUUAAGCCGCAAAAUGGCAGAACCCAACCCUAAUCAAACAAUCUCUACUUCUAAAAACCCUUCAGUUCGAACAUGGAAGCUGAGGAAACGUCAUUUCUCCUAUGCAAAUUCUUCAUCAUCUUUCACCACCAGCAAAUAGACUAAGAACAGAGUUAAGAAAAAGAAUCACACGCAUCGAUAGCAGCAGCAGAAAUUUUCAAGCUCAAUGAGUCCUCUAGAGAUUUCAGCUCGAGACAAUGACGUUAGGUUUCAUCAAGCACCGGGCUUGCUUUGGUCUGAAUACGUAUUUGGGGCCUUUCAUCUCUCUCGCUCAAUCUCAGUAUUAAUAGGUCUGACGUCACUCCUUCAUCUCCCCCCUCUGUAAAACCCGAGAGAUCGAUCCUCUCUCUCUCUCUCUCUCCCCUCGCCCUCCAAACGUCCGAUUCUCUCCCCCUCCUCCUCCCUCUCUCCCUCCGUUGAUCCAUCCAAUCCAGCAGUCGAUUUCUCCAUCUCCUGCACAUCGCGCACGUCGUCUUUCUUCUCACCCGGCUCGAGAAUCACGUUGCCGCGAGUGCUUGAUUUUGAGACUCCGAUUAUCUGGGGGCCAUGAGUGAGGAAGAGAGGAGCCUAAGUGGUCCGUUAAGGCUAGCGGGUUUCGGGAUCUUAUAAAUGGCGGAUACGCCGAGUAUCCACUAGGUGAAAGACGCUGCCUUCGUCUAAAGGGGAGAGGGGGGUGCGAAUGGAAAUUAUUAUCAUCUCAAAUCCACCACCACAUCCAAAUAUCGCCACCGAUCUUUUCGAAAUUAUCAAUAUAAUGAUCAUUUAGAUGUUUAUUAUUUGAACCUACAUCUUCACCAAUACUUUACUCUCGUAAGGAAAAACAACCUUAUGAUAUUGAUAAUUUGAAGAAAUUAUCUUCACCAAUACUUUACUCUCGUAAGGAAUAACAACCUUAUGAUAUUGAUAAUUUGAAGAAAUUAACUGCCAUUUUUAGAUGCGGAGCAAAACUAAAAUUGGACUUAGAGUUGAUUUUUUUUUUUUAACGAAAUUAGGCCUUUAAAUGGAUAUGCACAUAUUUAAUAGCGACGAAGUUUCGAUUUGUUUCUCCUUUUUUGUCAUUAUUCAAAAUUCUCAACAUGAACUCAUGAAGUUACAUUAUGAGAUGAACCAUGGAUGAGAAUGCAACAGAGAACAAGCGAACAAGAACUCGCCAUGCUUCUUUAUUUCCAGCACGCAGCCUACAGCACACAGCACACAGCACACAGCACACAACACACAACAUACAACACACAACACACUGAUGACACAACACAGGAACUUUCUUCUUUUCCUCGAAAGGAAGUGGCGCUCCAUGUCCUCAACGGGGCGACAGUGCUCGUAGCUCCCCUAAAUGAUGGUGCAUGAGUUCUCGCUCACCCACUCUUCAAGGUUGUACGUGCCCUUAAACUUGUCGUACAGCUGCGGCAAGAUUUUGGUCCAUUUCCGCCCCUGCAAAAUCGAUACAUGUAUUCUCUCAUGCCGUCAUGGAAGUGAGAUUAUGUAGGAAGGAAUAAGGAUGAGACGAAUUAGAGACAAUUGAAUCGGAUUAUGUCACGGUGAUUCUGUCCACUUUUUUUAGGUCGAUUUGAUUCUGUCCACUUGAGGUGGUGAUUUCGUGCGUGUGUGAGAGAGAGAUGGAUCUUACUUCGUCAUUAGCUUCUCCCUCCGUCCCACGGCCGGUUCUCGCCUGCAUGACAUAGUGUUCAUAGGUAAAUAUAUACUUGAACUCGAGUGAUUACUUUUUUUUCCUGCUAAUAAAGAAUUAAGUUGUCUUUUAUUUUCUUUUUUACAGGUAUGGCAGAGGCAAAUAUCAUGUCUGGGUUUUGUAAAACUCAUUCAGCUUUCGAAAAUCGCUUUACAAACCAUACCACUAUCUUCCGGACCAACUUACGCGAACCAUGCCUGUACAUGUUGUCUAUGUAAUCGGGGUGAAAAUCUUUUUGAAGGAGAAUAUAGUACUCUUGAUCUCGUCAUUAGUUCCAACUCGAUAAAAGGGAGGUGGACAUUCCUCGUCGGAGGUAAUUUUAUUGAAAAUGUAGAUUUUGGCAGUGUUGAAUUAUCUGCAUCAUAUAUCAUUAUGGAGAAUCGAGAUCUAACGUCUAUUUAUUUUAAUUUAAACUACAAUUUUUACCUGUUGACCGCGUACAUCAGUACUAGGCCUGCGUUUUAAUAGGUGUUUAUACUCGUCGCGGCUGAGGACGUAGAAGAAGGUG
RNAcentral lists this long non-coding RNA (14138 nucleotides) under Eucalyptus grandis. Its description in RNAcentral is "long non-coding RNA (EGRA_LNC004987)". The record is from RNAcentral. Lineage: Eukaryota; Viridiplantae; Streptophyta; Magnoliopsida; Myrtales; Myrtaceae.